CACUCCGUCACCCAGGCUGAAGUGUAAUGGCAUGGUCUUGGCUCACUGCAACCUCCGCCUCCUGGGUUCAAGCGAUUCUCCUGCCUCAGCCUCCCGAGUAGCUGGGACUACAGGUGCAUGACACCACACCCGGCUAAUUUUUGUAUUUUUAACAGAGACGGGGUUUCACUGUGUUGGCCAGGCUGGUCUCGAACUCCUGACCUCGUGAUCCACCUGCCUCGGCCUCCCAAAGUGCUGGAAUUACAGGCAUGAACCACCGUACCCGGCCACACUUUUUUUUUUUCUUAAUCAACUUAAUGACUCACUCCCUUGACAUUUUGAUUUAAGGAGACUUUCUCUCUCAAGAUAUCUAUAGUUUACAACAAUUUGGUAAAGUAUACUUUUGUGAACAAAACUGGCAACACUUACUUUUUCUCUGUCCCUCCAAAAUUUGGAAACUAUUUGACACUAGGUGAAAACAGAAAACUGCUUCCAGCUGAACUGAGCCAUACAGUGUCAAGUGAAAAACAAAUCUAGACCAAGGGGAUGUUUCCAGGGAAAAGAAGGACAUUCUGCUCUGCUCUCUUUUUGGGUAUUAGGUCUACCAGCAUUUGGAUCAUGUCGGUGGACGUUCUAUGUAUCCACUACUGAUGGGAAACUUCCUGGUGAAGGAGAGAUGAACUUUGCUAUGAGGACAUCCACCACCAUGCUCGUCAUCCAGCAUCCGCAUGCAAGCUGGGUGGGGUGGGAGCUCAAAGUUGGUCAAAGACAAGACUUUAAUGCUCUCAACUUUUAGUUCAUUCCUUCAUUUGUUCAAUUAAUUCAAUUGUUCAUUCACCUAUAUACUUCUUCCUUCAUUCAGUCAUUCUUUCAACAAACACUGGUGAGACGUAUUAUCGAUGCUCACCCAGAUCCCUUCCUACUGAUCAUGUGCCCCAAGUCCCCCUCCUUAGGUGCACUUUCCCUUCCAACAGCCAGCACCUGUGGCUCUUUUUAGGAGGUCUGUUCUUGGGAAUUUACGUUAUCCUGAUUCUCAAGGUGUCCUUAACCAGUGCCCAGGGAGUACAGGAGUCAGAAAGCCCCAGGCCUCUAGCCCCUAACCAGGAAAAGUCUAAGGCAUAACUUACACUCCAGGGUUCCCCCAGGAUCAGGCUGAAGCUGCCCUGUGAGGGAUUUUGUCUGAAAUCACAUCCGUGACCAGAGGGCUGGGACUAGGCAGGGAGAGGCGAGUAAGGCAACCAGGGCACAAAAUUGAAGGAGACGCUUAACACUCAGGUUCAGGCACAAACCUCCUUACAUUUCACACUGUAGGCCCCUCACUUGACUCCCCCCCACCUCCAGCUCUGGCCCUGCUGGCUGGUCUCCCCUUUCUUUCCUGUCUGCUUCCCCUAUUCCUUUGUGGGUUUCCCUGGGAACACUUCUAUAAUAAACCACGUGCUGGCGAGUCUUCAACUCAGGGUUCAUUUAUGGGAAACCUGACCAAACAUGACGGAGUAACUACUGUGUCCUGGAAACUGUUCUGCAUAUACAAAACAGAAUAAGUCACGGUCUCUGCUCUCCAAGAGCUCACAGUCUGGUGGGACCACAUGGUUUGGACCCUCUGUCUGCAAAUAACUGUGUCUCCCUGGGUGUAGCCCUGAGGAAGGGAGAAGUUCACCCUAAUGCUCAAAUCACUGGCCUCAACUGCCUUGCUACUAUAAGUUGCCUAAGGCUGCUGCGUUGAAGAGAAUCCACAGCAUAUGAAAAAUGAAAGCACUGUUUCAGAAUAAUUGGUUUUGUACAGUCAGUUGCUGCAGACAUCCGUGGAUUUGCGUGUGCUGUAAAGGCGAAGAGAUUUGUUCUGACUUAUUUUACAGCAUUUGGAUUUGUGGUUAGUGCAAUCCCAGCUGCAGGGGAAACAUUUGGCUCUUGUCACUGCCAUGCCUCACAUAGAAUUACAGUGAGAGGUCAGGGUACUCAGAGGCAUCCCUAUGGUGGAACCAUGGUGCCAACAUUGGGGUUUGGGUCUUGGAGAAAGUCCCAGUGACAACAUGCUUUCACCGUUGUAGCAGGUUGAAUAGGGACCUAGGACUUACAUGCAUUCAACCUUGUAGCAGGUUGAAUAGGGACCCCCAGAAUUUGUGUUCACCUGGAACCUCAGAAGAUGGCCUUAUUUGGAAAUAUAGUCUUCGCAGAUAUAAUUAGCUUAAGACCUAGAGAUGAAAUCACCCUGGAUUUAGAGUGGGUCAUAAAUCCAAUCACUGGUGUCCUCAUAAGAAGAGGACAGGACACACACAGAGACAUAGAGAAGAUGACCAUGUAAACAUUGAUGCAGAGAUGAGAGGGAUGCAACUACAAGCCAAGAGAAGCCAAAGAUUUCCAGGAGCCACCAGCUAGGAAGAUGUAAGGAACGAUUCUUCCCUGGAGCCUUCAGAGGAAGCAUUGUCUUGCUGACACCUUGAUUUUGGACUUCCAGCCUUCAGAAGUGUGAAAGAAUAAAUCUCUGCUGUGUUAAGUGGCUGAGUUUGUGGUAAUUUGUUGCAGCAGUCCUAGGAAAUUAACACAACCCUGAGCCUCUUCAAAGGAUUAAAGGAAUGGCAUUCAAGUGAAGUUACAAACCAGGGACCAGGCAAGUUACAGCCAUGGACUUGGAAGUUGAGAAAUUGCAAAAAAGUGGCAAAUGACUAGCAACCCCCGAUGUGGUCCCUCCCAGCUUUUCACUAAAUCCUUAUGACUAGGCAGAAAAAAAGAGAAAAAGAAAAUUCUCGUUAAUGUAGGAAACUAAGAUGGGCCCUCAAGUUAACUCCAGAACCUAACAGAGACUGAGUGUAAUUCAAGGCUGCUGAUACAGGUGGUUGGAAAACAAACAAACAAACAAACAAAGAAACCCUACCCAGGCUUAUGUGCAAGGCAUACUCUCCUUUUGGUUCAGGUUCAAGAGAGAAGAACUUUUCAAACUUGAAUGUGCACAAAUCACCUGUGGACUUUGUUCAAAUGCAGGUUCUGAUUCAGCAGAUCUGGGGUGGGGUUGAGAAUCUGCAUUUCUCAAGAGAUUCCAGGUAAGGCGGCUGCUAUUGGACCAUAUUUUGAGUGACAAAACCUUAGAGUACUUUUGACCAGGCACUGGCCAAAGGAGGAAGCUCCAACUACAGCUGACCAGAUAGAUGUUCACCAGGUGAAAGCCUGUUUGAAUCUGGGGGCCGAAUUGAAAUCUUGGUAGACCGUUCUGUAUUUACCAUUCGUAAUAUUAGAGGCCCCUUUAUGGAGGAGGAUAAUACUCUCCUGCCUAAUGACAACAGGGCUUAGCCUCCUAACUUAUUCUGGCCAAGGGGAUGUGGAUGGUGUCACUUCUGAUGACACUUGCUGAAUAGUGCCUGGUUCAUCACACUCCCCUUCCCUCCACCAUAUAGCUAGUUCUGUCCACUCUUCUAUAUUCUACUCUGCCAUGCUGAGGCUCUUUUGUCUGAUGUUCCUUUUGGUUUUGCCAUCAGUGAGCAUGGGGAGAGGCUGCAAGCAAAGGAGAGGGGAGAAGGGUCUUGUUCACUCCUGUUUGCCUGCCGAUCCUGUCAGUGUCUCCAUAGCAACAGCCCUUGCUCCUGGCACUAGUAGUUGGUUCCAGUUCCCAGCCCUCCCAAAGCCAGCCUUAUUGCACCUCCUGUGAGACCAGUUGAGCAGCUCCACCUCUUCAGAGAUCUGGGUACCAGCUCUGUGUGGCCAGCCCUGCCUCUAAGUCGCUAGGUUCUGAUAAUCCCAAUUUAUUCCCUUCAUUCCCCCAAAUCUAGGGGUGGCCUUUGCUUAGGAUUGGUCUUUCCUUCCUGCAGUUAACUCUUAGUGUUCCCUCACUGUUCUCUGUUGACUUUUCAUUCCUCUAGUGCUCAUGAAAACAAUUUCCUAUAUUAAAUUCUCUCUGUUAAAGUCACAGUAUAGUUUCUGUUUUCCUGAUGCUAAUGUCCCAGAUGGGAGCUCCAAUAGGAGCCUGGGUCUUGGAGUAAUGGUGCAGGGCAGGGUCUUAGCCAACCUGCAGUGAACAUGUGGUCUGAGUGAGAAAUAAAUAUUUGUGCUGUGACUCACCAAGAUUUCUGGGGUCAUUUUUUUAAUGUGGCAUAAUCUAGCCUAUUUUGAUUAAUACAGAAGUCACAAAUGUCACAUUCCCCAGCUGGGGCCAUAAGAAGAGGAUUCUCUCCCCAUGCCAGUAGGCAGAGAGCAGCACCCAAG
Molecule: long non-coding RNA, 4173 nt
Filed under: Homo sapiens (human)
Lineage: Eukaryota; Metazoa; Chordata; Mammalia; Primates; Hominidae
Description: HSALNT0154325
Source: RNAcentral